GGGAAAGCCACAGUUUGUGUGAAUCGCAGAGAGCAAAAUGGCAAACUGAAGACACAAUCUCAUGACAAUAGAGACAUAAUAGACAUCUAUUCACCGAAUAAGUUAAAGAGGAGCUCUUUCUGAGAUGAAGAGAAUUCUCAAUGUCAAGAUUUGAACAAGAAGAGAAUGGAAUACACAAUAUGGACAUCCAUAAAAAUUCAUCAGAGAGCAUUUUACUACUGAGCUGCAAAGGGAAAAACUUAAAAUGGAUAUGAAAAGUGAAGAAAGUGAUCAUAGGAGAAAACCAUUUCAGAUGACAAGAGCACCUCAAAGGCAGCAGCCUCAAGGAGCAGCCAUGGCCCCAGACUUGUCGCACGGAUGCAGAAAACUUAAUGGAGGAGGCUGAGGUCAGAAUGGGAAGAGUUUUUAAAAAAUAAAAAGGGGAGCUAAUAUGUGAGGAACUGAUUGCUGUGCAUUAUUUUCCACUGAACAGACCUUCUUUUAACUUCUAAUCUCAAGCACAUAGCAGCUGUUGUUUUCAUAUUAAAGAUCAGUAAGUGUUUGUUGAAUGAAUGUAUAAAUUCUUCCCCAAUCUCUGUUCCAUGUAAUAAGAACUAAGUUAGCAUUCAAUUAUAAAGAGGACUUAGAAAGUCUGCAGACAUUUUUGAUCAAAAAUCCUUUUAACUGUCUUCUUAUGGUUCCCGGUAACACCUAAGCCCAAAAAACUCAGGUCAUUUCUUGCCUGUACUGUUGCAAUAGCCUCAUAAUAACUAGUCUUCUCCUUUAUCAACCACAGUCGUCUCCGCUACACAAAGAAGAGAGGGUGCUAAUCUAAAGUGUAAAUUAUUUUAAAUCAGCACCCUUCUUGUAAUUUCCCAGUGGUUUUUCCUGUCAUAAGAAUAACAUGCAAAAUUCCUUGCUUGCAAAGCCAGGUAUGACCUUGCCCCGUCUACCUUACUGGCAUCGUCUCUCAUGACUCUUCCCCUUUUUCACUCUCCAUCUUGCCUUUUCCCAACCAUGCCUGCUAGUGAGCCUUAGCCCUUGUGUUUUCUCUGCCAGGGAUGCAUGACUGGCUUCUUUACUUUAUUCUGAUCUCUCUGCUCAAAUGUCAUCUUUUUAGAGAUAGCUUUCCUAAACAUCUUUAAAAGUACCCCAUGAACUGUGAAACACCUUUCCUGCUUUUUCUUCAUAGUACUUAUCACUUCCUGAUAUUAUGUUAGACAACAAGCAAAUAAGUAUAUGCUGUUCCCACUAAAAUAUAAGCUCCAUUUGAACAGGAGCCUUGAUUAUUCCUGAGUAUACCCCUAGUGCCCAGAACCUAGUAGGGCUUUAAUAAAUAUUAGAUUCAUUUGUUGAAUGAAAAAAUGAAUGAAUAAUUGAAUAAAGAUAUCCAGGUAGAGUGUCCGGGCAGCCCAACCUAUGUGAAGCCAGUACAAGAAUGUUUCUGUGACAUAGUGAGCGCAAUUAUUCCUCUAAAUGAUGAACUUGCAUGAGUACACAAGGAUAAAAUUAAGCACGUAGUUUAGAUUUCUGCAAGUCUCUUCCUCAGAUUGAGGAAAAACAAAGAAAUUGAGCUUAUUCUCACCUCAUUCUUACAUGAACUAAAUCCAGAAUAAAGCAUCAUUUAAAUACCAAGCACAUCCCUACCUCAGCCACUCAUGGAAUACUUUAUCUGUAAAGGGACAGAUAGAUAGUAAAUAUUUUUGGCUUUGGGGACCGUACAGUCUGUGUCGCCACUACUCAGCACUUCUGUUGAGGUGUGGAAUCAGCCCUAGACAACACAUAAACAAAUGGGUGUGGCUGUGUUCCAAUAAAAUGUUAUUUAUAAAACUAGGAAAUCAGCAGAUUUAGUCCACAGGCUGUAGUUUGCUGACCCUUGAAUUAGAGAGUCUUCCCCAAAUCCUCUUCCCAAGUUAUUGAAAGAAUGCCCAUAGGACCAUAGCUCCCUCACCUGGUUCUUUCAAGAAAUGAGACAAAUUCAGGGAUGGUUGGAGGGUGGAACGCCUACCUGUGACAUGACUAUUGAGCCUGAUUUCUUUCCUUUUAUCUCUUUAAAGUGAGUCAGGUCUUAACUUUAAACUGUCUCUAAAGUGGCAAUAACUGGGCCAUGUCAAAUACUCCCAAUGACAAAAUUUCUUCUUGGAGAAUGAAUGAGGGUUGCAUACAGUGGUGUGUUGGUAAAUGUUUAGCAACUGGCUCUCUUACUGAUUUCUGUAGUGUAAAUUCUCCCAUCCUGGCCAUCUGAAACUACCAAUAUGAUGUCACUUGAUGUAGAGUUGGGAAAAGACAGUCUCUUGAAUAAGUAUGAGCUGGUUCCAGCCCACUGCUGAACACAUAUUUAAAAGCUACAAUAGCUCUGCUCACUGCCAUUGCAGAGUCUGGAGGAAAGAGUAGCAGGCUUGAUAGGAGCAAUUGGCUGAAUAAUCUUUUGCAAUGCCAAUAAAUAAUGAAAAAGUAUAUAAAUAUAACGCUGUAUAGAAAGCUCUCAAGUUCAGUGUUUGGUUAAAAUACAUACUCAGUAAAUGGUAGCUAUUAUUGUCUUAGUUUAAGUUAUUGCAAGCAUUAAAAUUAAAUGUUUAGCUACAGACUCAAUCCAGUUUUAAUGUCAUUGUGUUAAUAAGGCCUCUUAACAUUGAAGCAACAAAGAUAAAGGAAUUUUUUUGUAGCUAUUCACGAUUCUGCCCAGCUCAAGGUAAAGAUAGCAACAAAAUACUCCAACCAGAAUAAAAGAAGUCUCCACUUGACUGCAGCUCUUCGCAACACUUCACAAGGGUCAAGCUGUGUUAGUUUCCUUCAGUGUUAAACAGAAUGCAUCUUAAGAGAAUAGUUCAAUUAUUGAUUGAAUAGUAGGUUCAAGUUGACUAUAAUCCCAACUAAUACACUCUAAGACCAGGGAUGGGCCGACAGAAGGGUAAAGUUUUCCACUCAAGUCUCGAGGCAAACACUCAGAUAGAAGUAGUAAUAUGGAUGCCUUCUAUUAUUUGGUCACAUACAAUACUGUUCCAGCCCAGUUGUGCAAAACUGGUGAAAUAAAAGGCAAAAAUAUUGACAACAGUUUGGGUAACUGGAUUCCAAAAUGGGCAUCCAUCUAAGAGAAAUUAAUGAAAAAAAAGCAUAUGGACCUUGAAAUACAUUAAUACACAGUUUAGGUUUAAACACUCAGUUUUUAUUAGAAAAGACUAACUUAUCCUGUUUUGAACACUACAAAAGUGCUUUCUGAACCAUUUACUCUCAAACCUCCUCCACCCAUUCCCCUCCAUCUAUAACGCUUUCUGCACAUCUGUAAAAGGUAUGACUUAGUGUUUGGUCUGUGAAAUAAGGUUAAAAAGGAAGCAUUUCUUUUUACAUUCUAGCUAAUGUUGAUAUUUUUCUCAUGCUUCUAUUAGCACAUAAUUCAGAUACAUUAGUUUUGAAGUUUUGAAUCUUCUCUGCUUCUUGAGGGCUCUCUGUUCUAGAUCAACAUGAUCUGUGGAACACCAGCCAAGUCCUGGGCAGAACCCUCCCCGUUGUCCAAAUAUUACUGAAUCAGUUGAGUUUUCUCUGUUGUCAAUGAAUUAUUCCACAUGUUUCUUUGGCUACAUUUUUUUUGGCUUUCUGUUCACAGUAAAUAUAGCCUUUGUUUUUAAAAACUUCUAUUAUGAAAAUUCCAAAUAUAUGCAAAUUAGAGAGAAUAGCAUAAUGAACCUCUAUGUGCUUAUCACACAUAUAGGUUCAACUAAUUAAAUUAUAUCAAUUUAUGGCCAAUCUGGUUUCAUUUAUAACAUCAUUCGCUCAUUCCUAACUCCCUGGAUUAUUUGAUUGACAUGUUUCUAAAGUUCCUUUUAAUCUGUAGGUUCCCCCUCUCAUUUAAUCUUUUGCAACUUAUUCAUUGAUGAAACUGGGUUAUUUGUCCUUUAUUGUUUCUCUCAUUCUGAAAUAUGCUGUAAUGUCAUUAACCAUAUUCUUCUUUCCUGUAUUUUCUGUAAGCUUUGAGCUAGGCAGAAAUAUUUUAAUCAGAUUCCUUUUUUUUUCUUUUAGCAAGAUUUCUUCAUAAAUAAUAUUGUAUGUGUUCAUGAAAAUAGAAAUAAAAAUAGAAAUAAAGAAGAAAUAACAGAAAAAGGACAGAAAUUGUUAAAAUUUUUUUAUGAAAACAGAUAGUAAAUAACAUUGUAAUAAAUCCCAACAGAACAUAGAGAACCUGACUUUAUUGACGUUAGUGGGAGGAGGUUUGUGAUUUUAAAACUAUAUAUUAUGGUUAUGUCAUCUAAAAAUCAAAUAUUCAAGCACAUAUAUUAAAAUUAGUCAUCAUUACAUUUUUCCAAAAUAAAAAAUAAAACUAAACCAACAUUAACCAUCAGUGAUUCCAUCAACUGAGCAAGUUUGAGUAGCAUUACCCUAGUGAAUAUCAGACUAUCGAUUAUUCUAUUCAUGUACCUGAAAUUGGAUAACAGUAUGAAGAAUUUCCUGAACAAAUACAAGAUACAUAUUUAGACCUUCUCCAGUCUAGAGGAAUACUUGCUUCUUGUCAGAAUGAAGAAUGAGGAGUAUUGUUUUAGAACUGGACUUCUUUGAUGACCCUUAAGUAAACCAAUAUGGACCAGAUAACAGGAGCAUUUCAAAGCAUCAGAAUUUUGGGGGAUUCUUGUGGUGGAGCACAAUGAGGCAUUCCAGCCUACUCUAAGAAAAUAGUUCAUCCCUGUCAAUAUCCUGGGAAGCAGAGUUCAGAUAAAACUAUGAAGACACAAUGUAAAAUGUCAGUUGUCUUUGCAAAACAUUAAGUAUAUGUGUAUUCUUGGGAAUGGGGGGAAGUAUGUAAUUAUUUGUGGCUUUUCAAAAAUGAAUGGCUUUUGAAAAGCCACCUCUGUAGUGCCUUUUUGAUUCCUCUUACGAAAAAAACAAACCUGGAAAAAUUAGUAGUCUUUAAUUUAUAGUUAGUUAGCACAUUAUGACAGAACUUUAAUCUCAUAUCUCACUAGGUAGAAAUGAAAUAAUACAUUUUCCCAUUAUAUAUUGAUUGGAGUUAAUUAAAUAUAGUUAGUAUUCCAUUUACAUUGAUGCUUUUUGUUCAAAUCUAUGGUAUUA
This 5040-nucleotide long non-coding RNA is filed under the name Homo sapiens (human). Its description in RNAcentral is "mir-99a-let-7c cluster host gene". The record is from RNAcentral. Lineage: Eukaryota; Metazoa; Chordata; Mammalia; Primates; Hominidae.